AUUAACGCUAGCGGCAGGCAUAAUACAUGCAAGUUGAACGGCAGCACAGGUAGCAAUACUGGGUGGCGAGUGGCGCACGGGUGAGUAACACGUAGGUAACCUACCUUUUAGAUUGGGAUAACAGUUGGAAACGAUUGCUAAUACCAAAUGAUAUAUAGGAGGGGAACUUUCUAUAGUAAAAGGGUGCUUUAAAGCAUCGCUUUAAGAUGGGCCUGCGGUGUAUUAGCUAGUUGGUAGGGUAAUGGCCUACCAAGGCAACGAUGCAUAGCCG
This 271-nucleotide ribosomal RNA is filed under the name uncultured bacterium. RNAcentral describes it as "partial 16S ribosomal RNA". It matches the Rfam family "Bacterial small subunit ribosomal RNA", at positions 29 to 289 of the family's 1533-position model. The record is from RNAcentral.